Long non-coding RNA from Gossypium arboreum, 267 nucleotides. RefSeq lists it as uncharacterized. The record is from RefSeq and is a predicted model, not a curated record. NCBI's taxonomy places the organism in Eukaryota, Viridiplantae, Streptophyta, Magnoliopsida, Malvales, Malvaceae. The transcript is spliced from 3 exons.
AUGAAAUAUGAAGUUUUAUUAAAAGAAAAAGAGGUGAAAAGAACAAAGUUUUGUCCAUCUUUGUUCAUCAUAGCUGAAAGUUAGAGAAGAGAAAGGAGAGGAGAAAGCUCUUGAGUAUUCGGUCAUUAGGAGGAGGAAAAUUGAAGGCGGUUCGUGUGUGGAUUUCGUCAGCAUAUCGUCGCAAACAGGCUUUGCCUCAAUUUACUGUUAACUGAGCAGCAAGGCUACAACUGUGGAGUGUUGGGUUGGGUGGGUUGAGCUAUUCCC